GUGCCAGCAGCCGCGGUAAUACGUAGGUCCCAAGCGUUGUCCGGAUUUAUUGGGCGUAAAGCGAGCGCAGGUGGUUCUUAAGUCUGAUGUAAAAGGCAGUGGCUCAACCAUUGUGUGCAUUGGAAACUGGGAGACUUGAGUGCAGGAGAGGAGAGUGGAAUUCCAUGUGUAGCGGUGAAAUGCGUAGAUAUAUGGAGGAACACCGGAGGCGAAAGCGGCUCUCUGGCCUGUAACUGACACUGAGGCUCGAAAGCGUGGGGAGCAAACAGGAUUAGAUACCCUGGUAGUCCACGCCGUAAACGAUGAGUGCUAGCUGUAGGGAGCUAUAAGUUCUCUGUAGCGCAGCUAACGCAUUAAGCACUCCGCCUGGGGAGUACGACCGCAAGGUUGAAACUCAAAGGAAUUGACGGGGCCCGCACAAGCGGUGAGCAUGUGGUUAAUCGAAGCAACGCGAAGAACCUUACCAAGGUCUUGACAUACUCGUGCUAUCCUUAGAGAUAAGGA
RNAcentral lists this ribosomal RNA (504 nucleotides) under uncultured Edwardsiella sp. RNAcentral describes it as "bacterial SSU rRNA". It matches the Rfam family "Bacterial small subunit ribosomal RNA", at positions 505 to 1012 of the family's 1533-position model. The record is from RNAcentral. Lineage: Bacteria; Pseudomonadati; Pseudomonadota; Gammaproteobacteria; Enterobacterales; Hafniaceae.